AUAUAAGAAGCAAAAUCAUUGCACUUAGUUUCGACCUAAACCCUUGAUAUUAACUAUCCUUAUAUA
Molecule: transfer RNA, 66 nt
Filed under: Curculionoidea sp. 31 KM-2017
Lineage: Eukaryota; Metazoa; Arthropoda; Insecta; Coleoptera
Description: tRNA-Arg
Source: RNAcentral